This 169-nucleotide unclassified non-coding RNA is filed under the name plant metagenome. RNAcentral describes it as "partial contains small subunit ribosomal RNA, internal transcribed spacer 1, and 5.8S ribosomal RNA". The record is from RNAcentral.
UUUCCGUAGGUGAACCUGCGGAAGGAUCAUUAGUGAACGCCCUCACGGGCUUAUAACUAUUCCAAACCUCUGUGAACCGUGCCCUUCGGCGCUAUUGUACAAACAUGGUGUAAUGAACCUCAUAUAUCAUAACAAAACAAAACUUUCAACAACGGAUCUCUUGGCACUC